This is a small nuclear RNA of Dromiciops gliroides (monito del monte), 107 nucleotides long. The record is from RefSeq and is a predicted model, not a curated record. Lineage: Eukaryota; Metazoa; Chordata; Mammalia; Microbiotheria; Microbiotheriidae.
GUACUUACUUUGGCAGCACAUAUUAUAAAAUUGGAAUGAUACAGAGAAGAUUAGCAUGGGACCUGCACAAGGAUGACUUGAAAAUUCGUGAACUGUUCCAUAUUUUU